UACAGAGGGGGCAAGCGUUGUUCGGAAUUACUGGGCGUAAAGGGCGCGUAGGCGGCCUUCUAAGUCGAACGUGAAAUCCCCGGGCUCAACCCGGGAACUGCGUCCGAUACUGGAGGGCUUGGAUUUGGGAGAGGGAUGCGGAAUUCCAGGUGUAGCGGUGAAAUGCGUAGAUAUCUGGAGGAACACCGGUGGCGAAGGCGGCAUCCUGGACCAAUAUUGACGCUGAGGAGCGAAAGCCAGGGGAGCAAACGGG
This 253-nucleotide ribosomal RNA is filed under the name uncultured bacterium. Its description in RNAcentral is "partial 16S ribosomal RNA". It matches the Rfam family "Bacterial small subunit ribosomal RNA", at positions 524 to 776 of the family's 1533-position model. The record is from RNAcentral.